Molecule: ribosomal RNA, 500 nt
Filed under: uncultured bacterium
Lineage: Bacteria
Description: partial 16S ribosomal RNA
Rfam family: Bacterial small subunit ribosomal RNA
Source: RNAcentral
AAUCAACGCUGGCGGCGUGCCUAACACAUGCAAGUCGAACGCGAAAGCCCCGCAAGGGGUAAGUAGAGUGGCAAACGGGUGAGUAACACGUGGGUGACCUGCCUUCGAGUGGGGGAUAACGUCCCGAAAGGGACGCUAAUACCGCAUGACAUCCUGCUUUUGAAAAAGCGGAGAUCAAAGCUGGGGAUCGCAAGACCUAGCGCUUGAAGAGGGGCCCGCGCCUGAUUAGCUAGUUGGGGAGGUAACGGCUCACCAAGGCGACGAUCAGUAUCCGGCCUGAGAGGGCGGACGGACACACUGGGACUGAGACACGGCCCGGACUCCUACGGGGGGCAGCAGUGGGGAAUUGUUCGCAAUGGGCGCAAGCCUGACGACGCAACGCCGCGUGGAGGACGAAGAUCUUCGGGUCGUAAACUCCUGUCGAGCGGGACGAACGCUUCGCGGAUGAAUAAUCCGCGGAAUUGACGGUACCGCUAAAGGAAGCCCCGGCUAACUCCGUG